UAGAGAACAUGUCCUCCUUCAACUUUCAAACUGCACUUCCAUUUGUGAUUAAUUGCAGCAAUUAGACGCUAACUUAGAAAAAUGCACACAUGUCAAAAGGGAAGACCCCGUUGGACCUGAAUUUGCACACAUGUCAAAAGGGAAGACCCCGCCGGACCUGAAUUCACCUAGUUACAAUAAACAUAUGAAAUCUGGAAGAUAGUAAUGUUCAGUUACCUCAGCCAUAGAAGCAGACUUACGAUUAGUCUGAUUUUAAGGAAAAAUAUCAACAACCACAUGUCUAUGACGGUAAGUGCUAUCAAAUUUUGAACUUAUAAAAUAAACAAAACAGAGAUGGUGUUACUUGGAAAUUUUUGAGUCAUUGGCUUCAAAAUUCAGUCAGUGCAUCUACUCCUUGGAUCUGUCAAACGUCGUGGCCUAGAACUUUGAGAAAACUAAUACGUACUAUAAUUCAGGAACACUUAAUCAGGUUGUUAUAUAUCUAACAUAACAUGAUUCUUUUAUUAGUUUUAGACACAUCAUAUUGGUCCUGCUUACCCUGCUGUUGUGUUGAGGGGUUUACUUUAACUGACCCGAUGAUCAAAAUUGUCCUUGUUGAAGUCACCAACGGGGGCGAGGUCUUGGACAUGCUGUCAGCGAGGAACGUGGAUGAUCGAUGUGUUGCGAGAUAAUUUUUCUUCAAGAUCACCUUCCCUCCACGGCUCAGCAAGGACGUCAUCGACCAUUUGCGAUGGCACCAACCACAGUAACUCUGUCCUUCUCCAUAUCCCCCACACCCCCUGCCUCUCUUUGUUGAGGGAUUGAUAAAACUAUCAUUGGGGAAGCCAAAUCACAGUAGAGAGUUUCUAAUUGAGUUAGGGUUAAUAAGUAGAGAAAAUAGAGAUCUACCAGUACAGAAGGAAGGAGUUAGGUUUUUUUCUGUAUGCUACAGGGAGAUCUAUUUCUUACUUUCCGAGGGAUAGAAACACUUAUUUUAUUUUGCCAUUGCUAUCAUCUGCUUCAAGAAGCCGUAGGAAAUUGAAUCCCUGGAUAUAACUAUCAGAGGACAUGAUGAGAAAACUUGAAUCCAAACCGGAAAAAAGAAAUAUGUUUGAUAAGACGAACCUGAUCGGAGGUGAUCCAAGAGCACCAGAGAUCCAUGCCCCAACUUCCUUGUUGCAAUUUGGGAGAGACACGGAUCAGUUUACACAUGGAGAAGCAUCUGUUUGAGAAGACGAUCUUGAUCGCUGGAGAUCCCUGCCCCAACUUCCUUGUUGCAAAUUGGGAGAUGCAUGGAUCAGUUUCCACGUGGAGAAGAAGAUAGAGAUGUUAGAGACUGAGAGAGGUAUCCACAUGCACAAUUUCCUUGCUCCAAUUUGAG
Molecule: long non-coding RNA, 1360 nt
Filed under: Triticum aestivum (bread wheat)
Lineage: Eukaryota; Viridiplantae; Streptophyta; Magnoliopsida; Poales; Poaceae
Description: long non-coding RNA (TAES_LNC014520)
Source: RNAcentral